UACGGAGGAUGCAGGCGUUAUCCGGAUUUAUUAGGUUUAAAGGGUGCGUAGGCGGCUUUUUAAGUCAGUGGUGAAAGUUUGCAGCUUAACUGUAAAAUUGCCAUUGAUACUGGAGAGCUUGAAUAUGGUAGAGGUAGGCGGAAUGUGUAGUGUAGCGGUGAAAUGCUUAGAUAUUACACAGAACACCAAUUGCGAAGGCAGCUUACUAUGCCAUCAUUGACGCUGAGGCACGAAAGCGUGGGUAGCGAACAGG
RNAcentral lists this ribosomal RNA (253 nucleotides) under uncultured bacterium. RNAcentral's name for it is "partial 16S ribosomal RNA". It matches the Rfam family "Bacterial small subunit ribosomal RNA", at positions 524 to 776 of the family's 1533-position model. The record is from RNAcentral.